This 759-nucleotide ribosomal RNA is filed under the name Streptococcus anginosus. RNAcentral describes it as "bacterial SSU rRNA". It matches the Rfam family "Bacterial small subunit ribosomal RNA", at positions 28 to 776 of the family's 1533-position model. Lineage: Bacteria; Bacillati; Bacillota; Bacilli; Lactobacillales; Streptococcaceae. The record is from RNAcentral.
GAUGAACGCUGGCUACAGGCUUAACACAUGCAAGUCGAGGGGAAACGACAGGGAAGCUUGCUUCCUUGGGCGUCGACCGGCGCACGGGUGAGUAACGCGUAUCCAACCUGCCUCUGACUGAGGGAUAACCCGUCGAAAGUCGGCCUAAUACCUCAUGGCAUCGUCUGCGGGCAUCCAACGACGAUUAAAGAUUUCAUCGGUCAGGGAUGGGGAUGCGUCUGAUUAGCUUGUUGGCGGGGUAACGGCCCACCAAGGCUACGAUCAGUAGGGGUUCUGAGAGGAAGGUCCCCCACAUUGGAACUGAGAUACGGUCCAAACUCCUACGGGAGGCAGCAGUGAGGAAUAUUGGUCAAUGGGCGAGAGCCUGAACCAGCCAAGUAGCGUGCAGGAUGACGGCCCUAUGGGUUGUAAACUGCUUUUAUGCGGGGAUAAAGUGAGGGACGUGUCCUUCAUUGCAGGUACCGCAUGAAUAAGGACCGGCUAAUUCCGUGCCAGCAGCCGCGGUAAUACGUAGGGGGCUAGCGUUGUCCGGAAUCACUGGGCGUAAAGGGUUCGCAGGCGGAAAUGCAAGUCAGGUGUAAAAGGCAGUAGCUUAACUACUGUAAGCAUUUGAAACUGCAUAUCUUGAGAAGAGUAGAGGUAAGUGGAAUUUUUAGUGUAGCGGUGAAAUGCGUAGAUAUUAAAAAGAAUACCGGUGGUGAAGGCGACUUACUGGGCUCAUUCUGACGCUGAGGAACGAAAGCGUGGGUAGCAAACAGG